GCUGUAGCUCAGUGGGAGAGCAUCUGCCUUACAUGCAGAAGGUCCCAGGUUCAAUUCCUGACAUCUCCG
Molecule: non-coding RNA, 69 nt
Organism: Hemicordylus capensis (graceful crag lizard)
Lineage: Eukaryota; Metazoa; Chordata; Lepidosauria; Squamata; Cordylidae
Source: the annotation of a RefSeq genome assembly